UCCAGACUCCUACGGGAGGCAGCAGUGGGGGAUAUUGCACAAUGGGGGGAACCCUGAUGCAGCGACGCCGCGUGGGUGAAGGAGCGUUUCGGCGCGUAAAGCCCUAUCGGCAGGGAAGAAGGAGGACGGUACCUGACUAAGAAGCCCCGGCUAACUACGUGCCAGCAGCCGCGGUAAUACGUAGGGGGCAAGCGUUAUCCGGAUUUACUGGGUGUAAAGGGGGCGCAGACGGCAGCGCAAGCCAGGAGUGAAAGCCCGGGGCCCAACCCCGGGACUGCUCUUGGAACUGCGCGGCUGGAGUGCAGGAGGGGCAGGCGGAAUUCCUGGUGUAGCGGUGAAAUGCGUAGAUAUCAGGAGGAACACCGGUGGCGAAGGCGGCCUGCUGGACUGCGACUGACGUUGAGGCCCGAAAGCGUGGGGAGCAAACAGGAUUAGAUACCCCCGUAAGG
RNAcentral lists this ribosomal RNA (449 nucleotides) under uncultured bacterium. RNAcentral describes it as "partial 16S ribosomal RNA". It matches the Rfam family "Bacterial small subunit ribosomal RNA", at positions 330 to 793 of the family's 1533-position model. The record is from RNAcentral.